UCCCUGGUGGUCUAGUGGUUAGGAUUUGGUGCUUUCACUGCCUUGGCCCAGGGUCAACCCCUGGUCUGAGAA
This 72-nucleotide transfer RNA is filed under the name Sus scrofa (pig). It matches the Rfam family "tRNA". Rfam says of the family: Transfer RNA (tRNA) molecules are approximately 80 nucleotides in length. The record is from Rfam by way of RNAcentral. Lineage: Eukaryota; Metazoa; Chordata; Mammalia; Artiodactyla; Suidae.